This 440-nucleotide ribosomal RNA is filed under the name uncultured bacterium. Its description in RNAcentral is "partial 16S ribosomal RNA". It matches the Rfam family "Bacterial small subunit ribosomal RNA", at positions 338 to 795 of the family's 1533-position model. The record is from RNAcentral.
CCUACGGGAGGCAGCAGUGGGGGAUAUUGCACAAUGGGGGAAACCCUGAUGCAGCGACGCCGCGUGAGUGAAGAAGGAUUUCGGUAUGUAAAGCUCUAUCAGCAGGGAAGAAAAUGACAGUACCUGACCAAGAAGCCCCGGCUAACUACGUGCCAGCAGCCGGGGUACUACGUAGGGGGCAAGCGUUAUCCGGAUUUACUGGGUGUAAAGGGAGCGUAGACGGUUCUGUAAGUCUGGAGUGAAAGCCCGGGGCCCAACCCCGGGACAGCCUUGGAAACUGUGUAACUGGAGUACAGGAGGGGCAGGCGGAAUGCGGGGUGUAGCGGUGAAAUGCGUAGAUAUCGGGAGGAACACCGACGGCGAAGGCAGCCUGCUGGACUGAAACUGACGUUGAGGCUCGAAAGCGUGGGGAGCAAACAGGAUUAGAUACCCGUGUAGUC